This 688-nucleotide ribosomal RNA is filed under the name uncultured fungus. RNAcentral describes it as "eukaryotic LSU rRNA". The stretch from base 242 to 395 matches the Rfam family "5.8S ribosomal RNA". Lineage: Eukaryota; Fungi. The record is from RNAcentral.
GCACGCCCGGUCGGGUCUGGCUCUUUUGAUUUCACACACCUGUGCACCUUCGGGCUGCCCGCCCUCCACUUGUCUUUGCUUCGGCGAAGGUUUACGAGCGCUGCGAAACGACGCAAGUCGACUUGCUCGCUCCGGGGAGGUGAUUUCGGGCAUGUCUCGUUUUUUUCUUUACACCUUUUUGUAUGUCCAUGAAUGUUAACUCGGUUGCCCUGUGAUGGGGUGGUCGAUAAAAUUUAAAUACAACUUUCAGCAACGGAUCUCUUGGCUCUCCCAUCGAUGAAGAACGCAGCGAACUGCGAUACGUAAUGUGAAUUGCAGAAUUCAGUGAAUCAUCGAAUCUUUGAACGCACCUUGCGCCACUCGGUUUUCCGAGGGGCACGUCUGUUUGAGUGUCACGUUACUCUCUCACUUACCUUCGGGUGUUAGUGGACUUGGACCGCGCUGUCUUCUGUGGACGGCUCGUCUCGAAAUGUAUCGUGCCAGCGGAGCCUUGCGUGGAACGGCCCGACGAAACGGUGUGAUAUUUACUAUCUGCGCUGGAAUAGUCGGAUUCGUGCUGCUGCACCAGUCGAGCUCUGGGCUUAUAAUGAGCAACGUGGGCUUUGCCGCCGACGACCUCUCUUUAAGCGUUUGACCUCAAAUCAGAUGGGACUACCCGCUGAACUUAAGCAUAUCAAUAAGCGGAGGA